GACGAACGCUGGCGGCGUGCUUAACACAUGCAAGUCGAACGGAAAGGCCCUGCUUUUGUGGUGUGCUCGAGUUGCUAACGUGUGAGUCACACGUGUGUAACCUGCCCUUGCCUUUGGGAACACUUCUGUAAACUGGGGCUACUACCUGUUAUUACCUCCUGCUGCAUGGUGUGGUUUGUAAAGUUUCGGCGGUUGGUGUUGGACUCGCGGCUUAUCUGCCUGUUGGUGGGGUAGUGGCUUACCAAGGCUUUGACGGGUAGCCGGCCUGAGAGGGUGACCGGCCACAUUGGGAAUGAGAUAAGGCCAAGACUCAUACGGGAGGAAGCAGUGGGGAAUAUUGCACAAUGGGCGGAAGCCUGAUGCAGCAACGCCGCGUGCGGGAUUACGGACUUCGGGUUGUAAACAGCUAUCGCCUGUGACGAAGCGUGAGUGACGGUAAUGGGUAAAGAAGCACCGGCUAACUACGUG
Molecule: ribosomal RNA, 468 nt
Filed under: uncultured bacterium
Lineage: Bacteria
Description: partial 16S ribosomal RNA
Rfam family: Bacterial small subunit ribosomal RNA
Source: RNAcentral